RNAcentral lists this ribosomal RNA (478 nucleotides) under uncultured bacterium. RNAcentral describes it as "partial 16S ribosomal RNA". It matches the Rfam family "Bacterial small subunit ribosomal RNA", at positions 28 to 523 of the family's 1533-position model. The record is from RNAcentral.
GACGAACGCUGGCGGCGUGCUUAACACAUGCAAGUCGAACGGUAAGGCCCUUCGGGGUACACGAGUGGCGAACGGGUGAGUAACACGUGGGUGAUCUGCCCUGCACUUCGGGAUAAGCCUGGGAAACUGGGUCUAAUACCGGAUAGGACCACUGCCUGCAUGGGUGGUGGUGGAAAGCUUUUGCGGUGUGGGAUGGGCCCGCGGCCUAUCAGCUUGUUGGUGGGGUGAUGGCCUACCAAGGCGACGACGGGUAGCCGGCCUGAGAGGGUGACCGGCCAGACGGGGCCUGGGAUACGGCGCAGACCCCUACGGGAGGCAGCAGUGGAGAAUAUUGAUCAAUGGGCGCAAGCCUGAUGCAGCGAGGCCGCGGGAGGGAGGACGGACUUCGGGUUGUAAACCUCUUUCAGCACCGACGAAGCGCAAGUGACGGUAGGUGCAGAAGAAGGACCGGCCAACUACGUGCCAGCCGCCGCCGUAA